Molecule: ribosomal RNA, 224 nt
Filed under: uncultured bacterium
Lineage: Bacteria
Description: partial 16S ribosomal RNA
Rfam family: Bacterial small subunit ribosomal RNA
Source: RNAcentral
UGAGCAAUCUGCCCUUCUCUUUGGAAUAAGCGUUGGAAACGACGUCUAAUGCCGAAUACGACCUCCUUUCGCAUGAUCGGAGGUGGAAAGCUCCGGCGGAGAAGGAUGAGCUCGCGCCUAUCAGCUAGUUGGUGAGGUAACGGCUCACCAAGGCAACGAUGCGUAGCCGACUGAGAGGUGAUCGGCCANAUUGGAACUGAGACACGGUCCAGACCUCUACGGGA